GUGACCAUGCAAUGUAGCGUGAAGUCCAAGUGGCCAAAAGUGGUGCAGCACAUAUAAACUUGACAAGUGAUAAAUGCAUGAAGAUUGCUAAGUGUCUACUUCAUGGAGCGGCACAUGGAUGGAGGGCCUACAUGCAUGGCAAGUCCAAGCCAUGCAACGUGAGUUGGAAGCCCAUGCAGCGUGAAAAAAUUGAAUGGCAGCCCAUGUGGGGCGCACCAAAGUGGACAGCCCACUUUGGGUCCAAGCACUUGGCGGCAACUUUCCCUCCUUGCCCAUUUGAAAUGCUCCAAGUG
RNAcentral lists this unclassified non-coding RNA (293 nucleotides) under Hevea brasiliensis (rubber tree). The record is from RNAcentral. Lineage: Eukaryota; Viridiplantae; Streptophyta; Magnoliopsida; Malpighiales; Euphorbiaceae.